This 885-nucleotide ribosomal RNA is filed under the name uncultured bacterium. Its description in RNAcentral is "bacterial SSU rRNA". It matches the Rfam family "Bacterial small subunit ribosomal RNA", at positions 78 to 985 of the family's 1533-position model. The record is from RNAcentral.
CUUCGGGUACUUUAGUGGCGAACGGGUGAGUAAUACAUAGGUAACCUACCCUUAAGACGAGGAUAGCCAUUGGAAACGAUGGAUAAAACUGGAUAGGAUAUAGAGGAAGAAUCUUUUAUAUUUAAAAGAGAGAUCUGCUUAAGGAGGGGCCUGUGGCGCAUUAGCUAGUUGGUGGGGUAAGGGCCUACCAAGGCGAUGAUGCGUAGCCGGACUGAGAGGUUGAACGGCCACAAUGGAACUGAGAACGGUCCAUACUCCUACGGGAGGCAGCAGUAGGGAAUUUUCGGCAAUGGGGGGAACCCUGACCGAGCAACGCCGCGUGAACGAAGAAGUUAUUCGUAAUGUAAAGUUCUUUUAUCAGGGAAGAAAGAGGAAUUUGACGGUACCUGAGGAAUAAGCUCCGGCUAACUACGUGCCAGCAGCCGCGGUAAUACGUAGGGAGCGAGCGUUAUCCGGAAUUAUUGGGCGUAAAGGGUGCGUAGAUGGCAUAGUAAGUCUUUUGUAAAAAUGCUGGGCUCAACCCAGUAGGGCAAAAGAUACUGCAAAGCUAGAGUAUGACAGAGGCAAGUGGAACUACAUGUGUAGCGGUAAAAUGCGUAAAUAUAUGUAAGAACACCAGUGGCGAAGGCGGCUUGCUGGGUCGAUACUGACAUUGAGGCACGAAAGCGUGGGGAGCAAACAGGAUUAGAUACCCUGGUAGUCCACGCCCUAAACGAUGAGUACUAAGUGUUGGUGAGAAUCAGUGCUGAAGUUAACGCAUUAAGUACUCCGCCUGAGUAGUACGUACGCAAGUAUGAAACUUAAAGGAAUUGACGGGAGCCCGCACAAGCGGUGGAGCAUGUUGUUUAAUUCGACGAUACGCGAAGAACCUUACCAGGUCUUGAC